RNAcentral lists this ribosomal RNA (252 nucleotides) under uncultured bacterium. RNAcentral describes it as "partial 16S ribosomal RNA". It matches the Rfam family "Bacterial small subunit ribosomal RNA", at positions 524 to 776 of the family's 1533-position model. The record is from RNAcentral.
UACGGAGGAUGCGAGCGUUAUCCGGAUUUAUUGGGUUUAAAGGGUGCGCAGGCGGCACGGCAAGCCGGCGGUCAAAUCGCGGGGCUCAACCCCGCCCAGCCGUCGGAACUGCCGGGCUAGAGUGGGCGAGAAGUGCGCGGAAUGCGUGGUGUAGCGGUGAAAUGCGUAGAUAUUAGGAGGAACACCAGUGGCGAAGGCGGCUUACUGGACUGUAACUGACGUUGAGGCUCGAAAGCGUGGGGAGCAAACAGG